Molecule: unclassified non-coding RNA, 152 nt
Filed under: uncultured Helotiales
Lineage: Eukaryota; Fungi; Ascomycota; Leotiomycetes; Helotiales
Description: sequence contains ITS1
Source: RNAcentral
UAAAUGAAGCCGGGUAACCGGUCCUUCUAACCCUUGAUUAUCUUUAUUUUGUUGCUUUGGCGGGCCGCGAGAGCACCGGCCUCGGCUGGAUUGUGCCCGCCAGAGGACCACAACUCUGUAAUAAUUGUCGUCUGAGUACUAUAUAAUAGUUA